This 468-nucleotide ribosomal RNA is filed under the name uncultured bacterium. RNAcentral describes it as "partial 16S ribosomal RNA". It matches the Rfam family "Bacterial small subunit ribosomal RNA", at positions 28 to 507 of the family's 1533-position model. The record is from RNAcentral.
GACGAACGCUGGCGGCGUGCUUAACACAUGCAAGUCGAACGGAAAGGCCCUGCUUUUGUGGUGUGCUCGAGUGGCGAACGGGUGAGUAACACGUGAGUAACCUGCCCUUGACUUUGGGAUAACUUCAGGAAACUGGGGCUAAUACCGGAUAGGAGCUCCUGCUGCAUGGUGUGGGUUGGAAAGUUUCGGCGGUUGGGGAUGGACUCGCGGCUUAUCAGCUUGUUGGUGGGGUAGUGGCUUACCAAGGCUUUGACGGGUAGCCGGCCUGAGAGGGUGACCGGCCACAUUGGGACUGAGAUACGGCCCAGAAUCCUACGGGAGGCAGCAGUGGGGAAUAUUGCACAAUGGGCGGAAGCCUGAUGCAGCAACGCCGCGUGCGGGAUGACGGCCUUCGGGUUGUAAACCGCUUUCGCCUGUGACGAAGCGUGAGUGACGGUAAUGGGUAAAGAAGCACCGGCUAACUACGUG